GUGGGGAAUCUUGCGCAAUGGGCGAAAGCCUGACGCAGCCAUGCCGCGUGAAUGAUGAAGGUCUUAGGAUUGUAAAAUUCUUUCACCGGGGACGAUAAUGACGGUACCCGGAGAAGAAGCCCCGGCUAACUUCGUGCCAGCAGCCGCGGUAAUACGAAGGGGGCUAGCGUUGCUCGGAAUUACUGGGCGUAAAGGGCGCGUAGGCGGACAGUUUAGUCAGAGGUGAAAGCCCAGGGCUCAACCUUGGAAUUGCCUUUGAUACUGGCUGUCUUGAGUACGGGAGAGGUGAGUGGAACUCCGAGUGUAGAGGUGAAAUUCGUAGAUAUUCGGAGGAACACCAGUGGCGAAGGCGGCUCACUGGCUCGAUACUGACGCUGAGGUGCGAAAGCGUGGGGAGCAAACAGGAUUAGAAACCCCGGUAGUCC
This 425-nucleotide ribosomal RNA is filed under the name uncultured bacterium. Its description in RNAcentral is "bacterial SSU rRNA". It matches the Rfam family "Bacterial small subunit ribosomal RNA", at positions 354 to 796 of the family's 1533-position model. The record is from RNAcentral.